Molecule: transfer RNA, 75 nt
Filed under: Deltaproteobacteria bacterium
Lineage: Bacteria; Pseudomonadati; Myxococcota; Myxococcia
Description: tRNA-Glu
Rfam family: tRNA
About the family: Transfer RNA (tRNA) molecules are approximately 80 nucleotides in length. Their secondary structure includes four short double-helical elements and three loops (D, anti-codon, and T loops). Further hydrogen bonds mediate the characteristic L-shaped molecular structure. tRNAs have two regions of fundamental functional importance: the anti-codon, which is responsible for specific mRNA codon recognition, and the 3' end, to which the tRNAs corresponding amino acid is attached (by aminoacyl-tRNA synthetases). tRNAs cope with the degeneracy of the genetic code in two manners: having more than one tRNA (with a specific anti-codon) for a particular amino acid; and 'wobble' base-pairing, i.e. permitting non-standard base-pairing at the 3rd anti-codon position.
Source: RNAcentral
GGUCCCAUCGUCUAGUGGUUAGGACGCCGGCCUCUCACGCCGGAAACCGGGGUUCAAACCCCCGUGGGACUACCA